RNAcentral lists this long non-coding RNA (948 nucleotides) under Nicotiana tabacum (common tobacco). RNAcentral's name for it is "long non-coding RNA (NTAB_LNC008671)". The record is from RNAcentral. Lineage: Eukaryota; Viridiplantae; Streptophyta; Magnoliopsida; Solanales; Solanaceae.
AUGGAUUGGAUCAUUGGUAAGAUAAUAGCUAAAAAGAUUCUUUAGCAGAAGCCUGAAACCAAAAUAGAAAAAUCACUUGGACACUGAAAACAUAAUCAAGUAAAUGCAUUACAAGGAGUUUAUUGCAAUUGCUGAUUUCCAGUAAAUGUUCUACUUUAAUCAACAAAAAUGUGUUCCACGUAUAGUGAAUAGUAACAUAUGUAAAAUGUCACUACCUUUUUUUCCCUGCGAAUUAAUCAUCAAUCAAUUAAGAAAAAAAAUGUUAGAUAUGCACAUAUGAAAUUGAACAUAUUAAUUUUACGAUCCUUACAAAGAGAAAAGCUUAAGAUCAUCUUAAUUACGAAGUAAUACUCUUUUGGGCAUUAAAGUUUGUGAACUAUACGUACAAAGAUUAGAGACAUGCAUGCAAGCCUCAAUCCGAAUUAUAUAUGUGUUUCACUUUUUAAAAUUUAUUUGUGAAAACUAGCAGAAAUGUAUAAUUCAAAUGUAUGAUAUGGAUUCUGAAUUAGGAGCUAACAGUGAGAAAUUUGCCAUUAAGCCAGGUUAUACUAGUGGUAUGUAAUACUAAUAGGUAACAAAAUUCAAAUAAUAAGAUAAAUUAAUGCAGGAUAAAAGAGAAAAGAAAAGGUCUCAGAAAACCCAAAGGGUCCAAGCAUAUUUCAACACUUAUUUAACCAUUCGGUAAUCAGUACCAUCUGGCCCGACUAAUCCGAAUUUUCAGAAUUCAAAUUCUAGGCAUAUGAACUCUGGUUGAGGGCGGAGUGAUCUCAACUAUUUCCAAAUUACUUACGUGAGUAGAAAACUGAGCAGGAUGUUCCAGCAGUCGUGCUCAUGGCUUGAUUCUGUUUGUUUCCUUCUCGAUAUCGUUGUGCAUUUCUUUUCUUUUUCCUCUCUAAUGACUGCUAGGGCGGCUCUAGGGUAGGGCAAGUGGUGAAACCCUUGCCUUAG